UCUAUUUGAGUCAGCAGACAGUCUUCACAGAACUUGAAUAGCAAGCAUAAGAAAAGUUAAGGAGCAUUUACAAGUUGUUGUCCUCAAAAACUUUUAAUUUGUAAAUUUCUUUUGAAGUUUUUCACAAGUAAUGUUGCAGAAGAUCCAUGUAUGAGCUCCGAUACCACUCUGUGGCAGAACCACCUAAAUUAUAUGGCCCACAUGCACCUAUCAUUGUCAUUAAGACCUCUGAUUACUGCACAUGAGAGUCAUAUAACCCAGGUAGUCUGUCGGGUGCCCUUAGAGGACCCCGAAUCAUCCACAUUUUAACUCAUACAGGAUCAACAUGGAGUUACCACAACAUUACAUCAUUUGUUACAAAAAUAACUUACAUUGGAGUGCGGAAGAUUUAUAACUCAAUUUACAACAUAUGAUGGAAUAUAAACAACUAAAUUUCCAAAAGGUGUGCGGAGUAGCGGAAGCAUCUUAGGUGAAGCUUCUAAGGUAGAAGAGGUGGAUAAAUCAUGUCGCGCCCACCGACAUGACCUCCAUUAGCAGCAUAAGUCAGCACCUGCAACAGGGGUUAUAAAACCCUAAGUACGGGAGUACUCAACAAGACUUACCCGGCAGAAAAAGAGGAGAACUUAGGAAUGCAGGCUUAGGGUAGACAAGGAGUGGCUGAGCAAGGAGCCAAAGUGUUUUGCGGAAAAGCUUACUAAUAGUGCAUUCUUACUUUCAAGUUUUACCCACGAAUUCCUCUCCUUAAGAGGCCGAGGAGUUCAAGGACAGUGUAUCUAGUUGCUUCUCACAGACGAGUCUGUAAGUUCCUAGUCCUUAAUCAAAGUAUUUUCUAUCCAACGGCCAUAGCUUCAUGUCACUCUGAGUCCGGGAAUUGGGAUCCGAACCUCAUGAGACAUUUCCCCCUUUCUCAUUUUACCACUUAGUUGCAUAAUUAACUACGAUGAGGGUCGAAUGAAUUGAGUCUCCCAAUCGGGGAGCAACGACGAUUCGAAUCGCUUAGCAAUCCAGCUGGAGUUCCUAACCACCCGACAUAUGUAGAACCAAAUCUUGCAUAUAUCAACCCAAGUCAGGCUCUCCCCAAAUUUGACCAGGUUCGCGGCACCCGAGAGCAUAGUACCCCACCAUCCUACAGCCGAUCUAGAUGUUUUCCGGUCAUCUCAGAUCCGUAAGGUGGGCACACGUUACUCUCGCCAUCUUUCCACUCCCAGUGCGCGAGUAGCUGUUCGCGUCGAGGGAUCACAAGACCGGGCUUACCGAGGGCAAGUGGCUAGUACUAUAAAUUCUCAACCCAGCAGGCCAUCAACGGACCGGUCCUUAACCGACACAGCUGGAGACACUACUUUAAGACUCCAUUCUUAAAGCAAGUCCACCGACCGGUCUCAAGUUGAAACAUCAUUGACCAUAAGUGUAUUCCACAACAACCCUUCAAACUUUCUUGUUUGAAAACCUAUCUAGUAGCAGGGCUAAGCAUCACUAUGCAGUUUUUAAAAUAAAACAGGUGCCAAGGACAAGAUAACAAGUAUCAAGGUAGUAAAUGCAGCAAGUAGGUUAACCCAAUUCUCAACUACCUAAUGCAGCAUUUUCAAACCAUAAGUGAUAAAAGAUUCAAAACAUUCAAGGAGGGGUUAAUGCAUCCGGGGCUUGCCUUGGUUGCAGGGCAGAGAGGGACCCUCGGAGACUUCCCAAGUCUCGGAU
Molecule: long non-coding RNA, 1695 nt
Filed under: Sorghum bicolor (sorghum)
Lineage: Eukaryota; Viridiplantae; Streptophyta; Magnoliopsida; Poales; Poaceae
Description: long non-coding RNA (SBIC_LNC000737)
Source: RNAcentral